Molecule: ribosomal RNA, 714 nt
Filed under: Triticum aestivum (bread wheat)
Lineage: Eukaryota; Viridiplantae; Streptophyta; Magnoliopsida; Poales; Poaceae
Description: partial small subunit ribosomal RNA
Source: RNAcentral
AUGGCGAGGGUCAGCCGGACGACGCCCAACGCGGCGGCGGCGUCGCGGACCAAGGAGGCGGCGGCGCCCAAGUCGCGGACCAAGAAGACGCCUGCCGCGCCCCGGUCGCGGACGAAGAAGACCCCCCCGGCCGCCACGCCGCCCUCUCCGGCGGCACCUGCGCCGGCGCCGGCGAAUCAGACGGCCCCUGCGCCGGCGACGGCACCUGCGCCGGACGUUGAGGUGAUCGAAAUCGGAGAUUUCCCCACCCCAUCCUUGAGCUCCGGGAAGAGGAGGGAUCGGGAGAGGGCAGGGGCGACCGCCUCCUCGCCGCUCGACGUCGACGAGAUCGAGAUGUGGACGCCGCGGCAGAAGCGCCGAUUCGACGAGGACUGCCUCAUCCUCUCCGCCGACCCCCUUGCCGCCAACAAAGCCCGACCCGUCGUCGUCCCCGCCGCCGCCGACGACGAAGACUUGGCGGUUCUCGCCGAGCGCGGCCCGGUGGCCUGCAGAGAUUUUCCGCACGCGAGGUAUCUCUGCGUCAAGUUCCCCUUCGCCACCACCCCUCACGAGAAGCACUGCGAGCAGUGCUACUGCUUUGUGUGCGACGUUGCUGCUCCGUGCGCAACUUGGAGAGGACAUGCCAUGUAUGGGCAUUGCCAUGCUUCAGACCAGGACAAGAUUUGGAAAACCAUGAGAGGAGCGAAGAAGGCGAACCCGUGCAAGACCUAUUGA